This is a long non-coding RNA of Drosophila persimilis, 876 nucleotides long. RefSeq lists it as uncharacterized. The record is from RefSeq and is a predicted model, not a curated record. The transcript is spliced from 3 exons. Lineage: Eukaryota; Metazoa; Arthropoda; Insecta; Diptera; Drosophilidae.
AAGUAAAAAAAUUUGUAAAAAAAAAACGUUUUGUAGGUCCUGUGGCCCUUGCGGCCCCUUUUGCAGUCCCUGCUGUGAACCGCGCUGUGGAACAUCCUGCUGAGCGAUAGCCCAUGUUCGACGAAUCUGAAAAGGUGCUGUAACUUUCUGUUCUGCUGAUAGUGACAGCUAGUCAUUUUUGGCGGACCAGCGACGACUAGCUCUUCUGCUUUUUGUGGAUCAAUCCUUGGGCCGAGCGUCAGACUUUACACAAGCGAGGCAUCCGAGGACUCGGGCUUCAGUUGGGAUGAGCUGAGCUGGCUCAGCACAAGCAGUGCCGCCGUUUCCGAUUCCUCGCGCAGCAAUAUCAAAAAUAGCAACAAAAUCAAUUUAGAUUAAGUCCUCGAAUCGAUCCCAAUACCAUACGUCGGCAUCCCAAUACCUUCCUGACGGGCUGGCCCUUCAGCAGCAGGUCGCUCUAUGGCCUGCUCUGUGGGCAGCAGUCCUUCCCCUUCGGCAGGCUUCCGUUUUUCUGCCGGAUCCAGUCCAACAUUUAUUUCGCGUCGUAUUUUUAAGAUGUCGUAGGUACGCUUGAAAAGAAGCGCGAGUAUGAUGGGCCCAGCCAGGACCCCCACCCAGUGGGCGCAGUGGGAAGGCGAGACGAUGACGACCGGUGGCUAAGGGGUCGGUGGCUGGAAAUAACGGAAUGCACUUUAUUCGCUCUGGAAAGAACAGCAAGAGCUCCCUGAGGCUGUGAAUCUUUCGACACGAAGACACUGUAUCCCGUAAUUAAAUGAAGACAACAAAAUUUCGUUAACAAACAAUUUUUUAGAAAAAAAUAUAAAAUUUUCGCUUGAUUUUAGCUCCCUGUGGAAAAUAAAAACGAAAAGAAAUGUG